RNAcentral lists this long non-coding RNA (5989 nucleotides) under Homo sapiens (human). RNAcentral describes it as "HSALNT0292413". Lineage: Eukaryota; Metazoa; Chordata; Mammalia; Primates; Hominidae. The record is from RNAcentral.
CUCGCAGAUGGAAUUCAAAUACCUGUCGUGUUCAAGACAGCCCCAUGGGGAUUAUAGGUGGAUGUCAGAACUAUACCCAGAUUCAGACAUGUGACACUUUCGGGCUGAAGCACUUAAGAGCCAGUGUGCCCUGUCCAUUUCUGUCUUCUGUCCUGUGGAUUUGGAAGCAUGUGUUGACAGAACAAUGUCUUAUGGUGAAGGAAGCCUAAACCCCUGAGUCAUUGGAUGGAGGAGAGCCCAUGUUGACCCAUAAAGGACUUCAUGGUCUCGCUCUGUCACCCAGGCUGGAGUGCAGGCGUGCUAUCUUGGCUCACUGCAACUUCUGCUUCCCGAGUUCAAGAGAUCCUCAUACCUCAGCCUCCUGAGUAGCCGGGACUACAGGCAUGCGCCACCACACCCAGAUAUGACUUAGAAUAUGAUUGAAUAUGAAUACAUGAUUGAAGAUAUAUUAUAAAAUUGAGAUACUUGUUGCAACACAACAGGGAAAUGAAUACAGAAGGGCUCAAAGUAUUUUAUAGAGGGUAUACGAGCAAUUUGACGUCGCAGAAAACCUGUCAGAAAGAAGCACCAUGGAAUAGAGGAAAGAGGCCCGGAAUCCAGCCCCGGGAACUGUGACAGCCUCUGGGGUGGGGACUCUCGUGGAAAGGCUAGAUGAUGGAGUCACGUGCUCCCUUCCCGUUCACUAGCUGCUGAUUGGCCAACUGCUCCUGCCAGCUGUCCCUGCACUCCAGCUUCCUACCAUAUGCUCCAGAAUAACGUCUGGAAAGUGAGCCCCAUCCAUCAAGUUUGUCACACCUUGCACUCAAUCUGCUACCUUCUCUACAGUAUUUGUCCACGUCUCUGCCCUGCUUCAAAUCCUUCAGAGGCUCCCCAUCACCCACAGGGAUGAUCUUUCUGAAAUGGAUUUGGCCAUGCCAGUCUCCUGCCUGAAACAGCCCUCCUGGCUCCUUGUCACUCAAAGGAAAAGGCAAACUCCUCAAGACUGCACAUAAUGCCCACCUUCCCAACCAGCCUCUCCUACUGCCACUCUCUCUCCUACACCCUACCUUCCAAACCCUACUUGGGGUUCACCCUCACAUGCUGGAGUUUUCCCAUCUCUGAGACUUCAUUCAGGCAGUUCCUUCUGGCUUCGGAGGCUUCUUUGUUCCUAAAGUUCAUACUUUAAGACCUAGCUGAAAUAUCAAGGCUUCCUGGACUCUGCAGGUGACACGAGCCACUGUGCUCCUGGAUGCUUCAGAACCUGUGCAGAUCUCUGUCUUCACUCCUACUAUGGCAUCUCCUAGCAUGUUCUACACUGAGCUCCACUGGGCCUUGCAUGUCAGUAUCCCGAAUUCUGAAUGAAGCUUGGAACAUGGGAGGUGCAUCCACUAACAACAUGAAGAAUGAAGACAUGUGUGAGUAAAUGAACAGUUCUCUUCUUAGUGGAAGUUGGCAAAUAGUUGUGAACUUUAAUAUGAUUCUGACAUAUUAAUAUCUUUAUUUUUAGAUAACAGAGUAGAUGGAAACCAUAUGGUAAAACCUAAAGCAAAAUCCACCCUCUAACCUUUCUAUUGACUACCUUUGACAAAAGUAUGUCAAAAGCAAUACAUCUUACUAGUGGAGCGAAGACACUGCAUGCUGACAAAGGUGAUCUCAGAUGUGAGGUCGAUGGUGCGCCAUGCAAUCAGCUUGCUGAGUGAGCCUACUUAUGCCCCAUCCCGGGGGCCUAGGGUAAGAAAAGUGCCAAGCGAAGCUGAGGAUCAGACUAAAGCUGGAAGGUGAGUCAAAGCUUGAGUCCCUCAGCAUUACCCUGCCCAGGCAGCAACUUCAGCCUCAUGGUCUUUUAGCCCUAAAACUUAGGACUAGCUCAGUGGGAGUUUUACAUUCCUUGGCUUGACAAAUGAAAAAGGUAUUGGUAGUCAGAGGGGAAAAAGGCUAAAAUAACUCAAAGUUCUAUCUGAAUCCAUGUGGAGGGUCAGGAAAAAUGCAUGGGUUUGGGGAGCCAGAAAGACCCCAGAAAUCCUCCUAACUUCCGAUAUGAACUUAGGCGAGCAUCUCACCUAUCUGCACCCCAGUUCCUUCAUUUGUAAAGUGGAGGGAAUAACAUCUACCUCAUGGGACUGUGACAAGUUACAAGUGAGCUCGUAUAACAUGAAGUAUCUUAAAUGCUGGCAGCCUUCUUUUUCUUUAUAUUCAAACAAAAGGAAAAACAAAGCUUUCUGGCCACUUUGAGUCUGAAAGUCUGGCUGUUAGGGUAGAAAAGUCUUCUAAACACUGAAUGGAUUUGAUGAUAAUCCCUUAGGGAUUGACACUGCCGAAUGCCCUUGUUCCUGGGGUCUUGGGUGCUGAAAUCCGCUUGGUGCAUACAGAGAUGCACCACCUGAGUUUCGAGGCAACUGUGCAUGUUCUGAAGAACAUUCUAUUUCCCCGUCAAUAAUAACAACAAUGAUGGGCAUCAAUGAUCUGUUUUGCACAUGUACAUCAUCUUUUUUGGCCUUGUUAUAUAACAGAUGAUGACGCUGAAAUUGCUGACACUAAUUAUCUACCAUAAGCAGGAAGGCCUUUUCUGAGUAAGCUCCUGGUUACUGGGAGCAGGUUGCAUCUAGGACUGAUAGUCUCUGGGGAUCCUAAUGAAGUCAGCGUAUUUUAGGGAUUUCUGUCUUCUCCUUUGUUAGAUGGGAAUAGAGACAGCCUGAGGGAGAGAUGCUGCUGGAAGAUCUUAUUUGGGGAUUGGUUCCAUGCUGUAGCUGGGUGACUUUGGGCAAGUUAGAUGGUCUUAAAAUGUCAGAGCUGGAAGGACCUGUGGGAACUGUUUUACAGAAAAGGAAACCAAAGGUCAGAAAUGAAACCAUCUGCCUCAUAUCACACAGCUAAAUUGAUGUGAUGCUAUUAAAACCCAGGUGUCCUUCCUGAUUCUGUUUGAGUGUGUUUGAAUUACUUAAUCUGGGUCUAGAUUCAAAUCCUGGUGCUAUUACAUGUGAAUCUCAGGAUUUUAGCAAGUUGUUAAACUCUCUACCUUGUCUGCAAUAUUUGUGAAAUGGGAAUAAUAAAAAUACCUGAGUGUUCCUGUGAGGAUUAAAUUAGGUGAUGCUAGUAAUUUUAAAAUAUAUCUUAUUAUUAUUAGUAAGUGAAAGGUAUCAUGAUUACCUUCUGCAGUGGUUCUAGAAACAGUGAGCCUGAUCUAAUUCUGUUAGCCAAUUCUGGUAGCUGCCUGUGUUUGUAAAUAAAGUCUUAUUAGAACACAGCUACAUUCAUUCAUUUAUGUAUCAUCUUUUGCUGCUUUCCUGUGACAAUGGUAGAGUAGCUGUAAUAGAGACAGUAUGGCCCACAAGGCACACAUAUUUACAGAGAGUUUGGCAACUUCUGGUUAGAUGAUCUGUGUAUUCUACUUGCACUCACUACUCCAAUGGCUGAAACCCAUAUGGAAAUCUCCAUGUCUAGCCUUGAUUUCUCUUUUGAUCUCCAGAGGUUGUAUCCAGCAGCCUACUGGCAUCUCUACUUGGAAGUCUCAUGGGCACCUUGAGUUCAGUUGGUCCCAAAGUAAACUUGUCUUCUUUCUGCUCAAACAUGCUGCUUGUGUUCCUUAGCACAGUGACUGGCACCAUGUAGAUCCCCAUGCCAGGAACCUGGGUGUCAUCCUACCUUAUGUCCUCUUCCUCACCUCCCAUGUCUCUUCGGUCUUAACCUUCUGUUGAUUUCAGCUUUUAAACAUCUCUUGGCACUAUGCCUGAGGUCUUGGCUGACACUGCCCUUAGCUAGACCCUGGUCAUCUUCUGCCUGAUCCAGUGCCAUCACUUUCUAGCUACAGGACCUCGACAGGGAGUCUGUUCAUAAAGGUCCAAGGAAGUGGGACACUGUGCCCUCCAAAAACUUAGGUUGGACUUGUCAUUGAGUUCUGUGUCCAUAAAAUAGGUCAUUUUCUGUUGUUUUGUGGUUCUUUAUUUUAAGGGUCUGUUGUUUGGUUGUAUUUAAAAAGAGAAUGGUAAUAAUAAUCCCAAAUACAUGUACUUUACUUUCAAAGCUUAUAAAACACUUUCAUACUUAUGAUAUUAUUUGAUUCUUGGACAGCUUGGGGAGAGAGCUAUUGCAAUUAUCUGUAUUUAUCCAUAUGAAAGGAUGUAUGCUUACCUAAGGUGACCUGCUUUGGAAGUAGAAAUCAGACCUAAGGCCCCUGACUCUGUGUUUUGUUUCUUCCUUUCUUUCCUUUUCUUCCCUUCCCUCCCUACCUCCUUUUUUUUCUCUCUCUCUCUUCCUCUCUCACUCUCUUAAGAUUCGUCUUCCCAAAGCAUCUGAGGUUUCAGCUUUCUUUUCCCUUGAACACUAGAAAUCCAUCAGGUAAUAUGUUAUAUGUCUUGCAUUCCCACCACGAAGAUCAGUAUUAAAAAAUGACAGCAACUUAUUAUUUAUGGCAAUAUCUAUUGUUACUAAGGGAGGCAGACCAAACAAUUCCCCAUUGUUACAGAUGCUACUCUGACUUGACAGCUGGGAAAGUCUGAUAGGCAGUUUAUUUACUUAGCCAUUUAACCAAAUAAAUGUUUUCAUUUUUCUUUCAUCUCCUCAAAAGCUAACAUUUCGUCCUCAAAAUUGCUCCAGCAACACAUCAGUGAAGUAUAAAUUACCUGCCAUUCCCAUACCAGUCAUUAUAAUAUUAUUUUGGUUCUUUUUUGCCCUUGUUGACCCAGUCUUUCAAAGACACGUGAUUCUCCCAGAUGGGAGGGUAGGGGGAAAAAAGUGAAGUAAUUGAAGAUACUUUCCUUUAUUGCUAAAACAGCACUGCUGUUUGAGAUUGGCCCUGAAGCUUCCACCUGUGGGGAUUGAGUCCGUCUGUUUCCUCUUACUAUGGUGUGAUAUGGCUUUAGCUUAUCAACAGAUGUCAUCCCUACUUACUCAGAACUGUGCAGGUAUUUCUAAUAAAAAACAGCUGGUGAUAAUGGUUGCAAGGGUGAUAAGAGAGACAGGACUCUUGCUUUCCAACCAUAUGAAAGCAGAGGGGAAAAAAUAAAGCCAUGGACAUAACUUUCCCUGCAUGGUCUCUCUUCUCCAAAUGUUUGGAAAGGCACUAAGAAAUUGCAGUCAGUAAAUUUUCAGUUGGGUGGAUGGGGGAAUGGGAUGGAGAUGGAAAGAUUAAAUGUGUCUUGUGCUGCUGUCGAUGGAGGGACCCAGAAUGGCUCUCCCAGACGUCCCCCAUGUGUGUCAUAGUGGCUAUGUCUGCAAAGCUGGCAUCUGCCCCUUGGCACUUGAAUCUUGAUAACUGUGAAGUGGCCAGGCUAAGCUUUCAAAGGGAGAAAAUUACUUCACCGAAGAUUACAGUCCAGCCCUCCUCUGGAGCUGGGAGGUACUUAUUUUGACUUGCAUGUGAUUCUAAGACAGCCCAUUUUUUGGCAGUGAGCUGUGUGAGGCCCAAACCAGGGCCAUUCUGAUUAUGGGGUGGGGCAAGCCAGAGAGCUAAGCAGCAGGCUUUUUUCUUUUUUUCCCUUCCAAAGCUGUUGUGACACAUAUUGAAAAUUAAUUAUCUGAAGACAAAGUACAAAGCAAAACCUCCCAACCAAUGGUCUUAUACAUGAAAGCUAAAUGUAUAAAAUCCAAGAGAGUGGGGAGCGUGCAUUAAUUGGAUAUAUGUGAUGAUGAUAAUGAUGAUGAUAAUGAUGAUGGUGAUGGUGAUGAUGAGGGUAGCUAGCAUCUAUUAGGUGCUUUCUAUGUGCUAUACACAGUGCUAAGAGCUUCACAUAUAUCACUUUAUUUAGUUCACAUAAUAACCCUAUGAGGUGGACACUAUUUUUAUCCUUAUUUUUCAAAUGAAGAAAAUAAGAUAGAGAAUAAUUAUAAAAUCACAGCAGUGUCACAUAGCCAGGAAGUGGUGGAGCCAGAUGCUGAACUCAAACAAUGUUGUUCCAGAACCUAGAUAUUUUUUUUAAGCUGAAUUUUAAGCUGAUUACUCAGUGUCUGUCUCUGCGCUAGAUACUCAACAUAAACUAUCUCAGUUACCAUUAUGGAGAAUAUAAGCCCCUUC